This 460-nucleotide ribosomal RNA is filed under the name uncultured bacterium. RNAcentral describes it as "partial 16S ribosomal RNA". It matches the Rfam family "Bacterial small subunit ribosomal RNA", at positions 338 to 795 of the family's 1533-position model. The record is from RNAcentral.
CCUACGGGAGGCAGCAGUGAGGAAUAUUGGUCAAUGGGCGGGAGCCUGAACCAGCCAAGUCGCGUGAGGGAAGACGGUCCUAUGGAUUGUAAACCUCUUUAGGCGGGGAGCAAUGCCGGGCACGCGUGCCCGGAGGGAGAGUACCCGCAGAAUAAGCAUCGGCUAACUCCGUGCCAGCAGCCGCGGUAAUACGGAGGAUGCGAGCGUUAUCCGGAUGUAUUGGGUUUAAAGGGUGCGUAGGCGGAUUGUUAAGUCAGCGGUAAAAUGUCCGGGCUCAACCCGGGCCGGCCGUUGAAACUGGGGAUCUUGAGUGGGCGAGAAGUAUGCGGAAUGCGUGGUGUAGCGGUGAAAUGCAUAGAUAUCACGCAGAACUCCGAUUGCGAAGGCAGCAUACCGGCGCCCGACUGACGCUGAGGCACGAAAGCGUGGGGAUCGAACAGGAUUAGAUACCCUGGUAGUC